GAGUUUUCCUGCAGGAAAUUAAUUGAAUAGGACACCAGGUCCUGAAGACGAUGUUUUAUCACGAGGAUGUGAUCGAUAACGUGAAGGGACAUUAAAAACGAUCGACAGCAUGAAAUAAAAAUGACUUUCUACGUUAACAGAAAACCACUGGCUCUCAUCUUCGUUCGUCGCCAUUUUCGCCUCCGAAAUCAUCAGGAACAUCCGGAGGAAGAGCCUUUCAACGGUCAAGGACGACUUCCUGAACCUCCGAAGAAGAGUAAAUGUGAAGGGACAAAGAGAUUUCGGUGUCCGCACUGCGGUAAAUUGUUCAAACGACUCGACAGAACCUGGUCACACAUCGACAAUCAUCAUAAAUACCAUAUCCUAUUUUGCAUCGACACCGUAACGAACCAAAAGUUGUUCCCUUCGGGGAAUCCCCUGGAGAACCCGCCGGGGAAUCCCCUGGAAUAAUCGUCAGGACAGAUUCCACAUGAUGACGAUCACAUGACGAGAAUAAGAUCGACUUUCUCGAGCUGACGACGCGAAUUUAGGAUAAUUUCUUCAUCGCAGGGAACCGAUCGUUCGUGAUCACCAUUUUGGGACUUCCCAGGGGGGAACCCCGUGGAUUGGGACUUAUUUUCUGUUAAUCCUGACCCAUCGUAUCCUCAUUAUCGAGGAAAAAGUGGAAAAUGUCAUUAACGUCAGCCGCAUUUAAUUAUUCACUUGACAUUUGAGUGCGGAAUGGCGAAGGAACUUCCAGAUCUCAUUGUACCAGAGCUUUGGAAUGUUAAAUUUCUAGUGACUAAAUCCAAUUAAUUAAACUAAUUAUCGACGAAGAGUCUUACUGUGACAUUUAAUUUUCAUUUAAUAAAUUCAACAAAUGUGAAGGAUUAAGAA
Long non-coding RNA from Diachasmimorpha longicaudata, 876 nucleotides. RefSeq lists it as uncharacterized. The transcript is spliced from 2 exons. The record is from RefSeq and is a predicted model, not a curated record. NCBI's taxonomy places the organism in Eukaryota, Metazoa, Arthropoda, Insecta, Hymenoptera, Braconidae.